This 404-nucleotide ribosomal RNA is filed under the name uncultured bacterium. RNAcentral describes it as "bacterial SSU rRNA". It matches the Rfam family "Bacterial small subunit ribosomal RNA", at positions 355 to 776 of the family's 1533-position model. The record is from RNAcentral.
UGGGGAAUAUUGCACAAUGGAGGGAACUCUGAUGCAGCGAUGCCGCGUGAGGGAAGAAGGUUUUCGGAUUGUAAACCUCUGUCAACGGGGACGAAAAUGACGGUACCCGAGAAGGAAGCUCCGGCUAACUACGUGCCAGCAGCCGCGGUAAUACGUAGGGAGCGAGCGUUGUCCGGAAUUACUGGGUGUAAAGGGAGCGUAGGCGGGGCUUUAAGUCAGGUGUGAAAACUACGGGCUCAACUCGUAGACUGCACUUGAAACUGAGGCUCUUGAGUGGAGCAGAGGCAGGCGGAAUUCCCGGUGUAGCGGUGAAAUGCGUAGAUAUCGGGAGGAACAUCAGUGGCGAAGGCGGCCUGCUGGGCUUUUACUGACGCUGAGGCUCGAAAGCGUGGGGAGCAAACAGG